GGUCUUAUAUUCAAUAAUGAUUUUAAAUUGCAAAUUUAAAGGUAUCUUAAAAGGUUAAGGCUU
RNAcentral lists this transfer RNA (63 nucleotides) under Lophops carinata. RNAcentral describes it as "tRNA-Cys". Lineage: Eukaryota; Metazoa; Arthropoda; Insecta; Hemiptera; Lophopidae. The record is from RNAcentral.